GAUGAACGCUAGCUACAGGCUUAACACAUGCAAGUCGAGGGGAAACGAUAUUGGAAGCUUGCUUCCGAUAGGCGUCGACCGGCGCACGGGUGAGUAACGCGUAUCCAACCUGCCCACCACUUGGGGAUAACCUUGCGAAAGUAAGACUAAUACCCAAUGACGUCUCUAGAAGGCAUCUGAAAGGGAUUAAAGAUUCAUCGGUGAUGGAUGGGGAUGCGUCUGAUUAGCUUGUUGGCGGGGUAACGGCCCACCAAGGCGACGAUCAGUAGGGGUUCUGAGAGGAAGGUCCCCCACAUUGGAACUGAGACACGGUCCAAACUCCUACGGGAGGCAGCAGUGAGGAAUAUUGGUCAAUGGGCGAGAGCCUGAACCAGCCAAGUAGCGUGCAGGAAGACGGCCCUAUGGGUUGUAAACUGCUUUUAUAGGGGAAUAAAGUGAGCCACGUGUGGUUUUUUGCAUGUACCCUAUGAAUAAGGACCGGCUAAUUCCGUG
RNAcentral lists this ribosomal RNA (492 nucleotides) under uncultured bacterium. RNAcentral describes it as "bacterial SSU rRNA". It matches the Rfam family "Bacterial small subunit ribosomal RNA", at positions 28 to 507 of the family's 1533-position model. The record is from RNAcentral.